RNAcentral lists this ribosomal RNA (497 nucleotides) under uncultured bacterium. RNAcentral's name for it is "partial 16S ribosomal RNA". It matches the Rfam family "Bacterial small subunit ribosomal RNA", at positions 28 to 507 of the family's 1533-position model. The record is from RNAcentral.
GACGAACGCUGGCGGCGUGCCUAAUACAUGCAAGUAGAACGCUGAAGAGAGGAGCUUACUCUUCUUGGAUGAGUUGCGAACGGGUGAGUAACGCGUAGGUAACCUGCCUUGUAGCGGGGGAUAACUAUUGGAAACGAUAGCUAAUACCGCAUAACAAUGGAUGACACAUGUCAUUUAUUUGAAAGGGGCAAUUGCUCCACUUCAAGAUGGACCUGCGUUGUAUUAGCUAGUAGGUGAGGUAAUGGCUCACCUAGGCGACGAUACAUAGCCGACCUGAGAGGGUGAUCGGCCACACUGGGACUGAGACACGGCCCAGACUCCUACGGGAGGCAGCAGUAGGGAAUCUUCGGCAAUGGGGGCAACCCUGACCGAGCAACGCCGCGUGAGUGAAGAAGGUUUUCGGAUCGUAAAGCUCUGUUGUAAGUCAAGAACGGGUGUGAGAGUGGAAAGUUCACACUGUGACGGUAGCUUACCAGAAAGGGACGGCUAACUACGUG